UGGAAAACAUGCUGACAAAUACAUUGACCAUAAAACAACUGUUAAGCCCUAUCCAGACGGGAGUAGUUUCUCAUGGGGCCUAGAGUAUUGGUGGCAUAUCUGUCAUUGAGAUUUAUUCCCAUUGCAUGUGACGUCUCUUCAGUUUGGAUGUUAGUGGUUGAGUCUGGAGGUGGUUUGCUCUUCUGAUAAAUAAUAAAGAUUGAAUGAAUCUCUCUCUUCCCUCCAGCCGGCCGAUCUCCUGUCUGUCUGCUUUCCUGGAAGAAGGGAUGAAUCUCUCGUUUUAAAGCCUCCAGCAAAGAGAAACACCUUCAAGUGUGUCCCUCCCUCAGUUUAUGGUUUGUUAUGAGUGGAGUGCUGACUGGGCUUUGUGGAAGCUGGGCAUCUAUUUACGUCUGAUUUCAGAGAGCGGAGCCGGUGCUGACGAGGACAGGAAGUGGCCGGUGAUGGAUGGAGGAGGGGAGCACAUGUGGAUUUGGAUCAUUAGUGUGUGGAGUUACGCUGAAGAUCAAAGUGAAGAGUUAUGGAGAUUUAUGGAGAGGGAGGAAGUGCGGGAUUGCCAUCGACUGUCUUCUGUCCAUCACAGCUCUAAUGAAGAUUACAGUCCAACAGAUAUCGUUUGGGGUUGUGUUAAAGCAGAGAAUCCACUAAAAUGUGCUGGGCAGGAUGUCUCCAAAACCAGGAUUAGGAAACACAGCUUUAACGGAAGUGUUUUCUGACUACUUUCCUCAUUGCGAGUUCUAAACCCGAACCCCGAGAGCGAUUUGCUCCACUUAGAGCUGGAUCUCAGACCGUUCUCGGUUCUCUGACGCUGUUUAAGACGCUGGUUGCGAGUAGGCCGGGUACACAUUCAUUCUCAGUUGCUCCACACCCUCUAAGCUCUGCGGUUGUUUGUAGAUGUUCAAACCUCCGUAUCGACUCGCACAAUGCCGAAACGCUCCCCCGAGCUGCCAGAGAUUCGGACGCCCACUUGUGUGGCCGGGAUGAGAUUGCAGCAGACGAUGCCUGGAUGGAGAUUGUCUGAGUCAAACGAGGAAGAACUCAAUCAAAGUCCUUCACCGGAGAGUGGGCGAGCGUCCCCCUGCCAACUCCCCAAUCCCCUUCCACUCGAAACGGAUCGCACUUUUUCAAAAGAGCCCCAACCUGGAGGCAAACCCAAACUCUGUCUGCACGCUUCAAACGCACAAAUAAACAGGAGACACAGCAGAGGAAUAGGCUCUGU
Molecule: long non-coding RNA, 1219 nt
Filed under: Astyanax mexicanus (Mexican tetra)
Lineage: Eukaryota; Metazoa; Chordata; Actinopteri; Characiformes; Acestrorhamphidae
Description: lncRNA (ENSAMXG00005003935.1)
Source: RNAcentral